RNAcentral lists this non-coding RNA (46 nucleotides) under Trichobilharzia regenti. Lineage: Eukaryota; Metazoa; Platyhelminthes; Trematoda; Strigeidida; Schistosomatidae. The record is from RNAcentral.
AUUUAGAUGAUGAAUCCCAGAAUAGGACGAAAUUUCCAUCCUGGAU